This 164-nucleotide ribosomal RNA is filed under the name Turraeanthus sp. Carvalho 4348-1. RNAcentral describes it as "5.8S ribosomal RNA". It matches the Rfam family "5.8S ribosomal RNA". Rfam says of the family: 5.8S ribosomal RNA (5.8S rRNA) is a component of the large subunit of the eukaryotic ribosome. It is transcribed by RNA polymerase I as part of the 45S precursor that also contains 18S and 28S rRNA. Lineage: Eukaryota; Viridiplantae; Streptophyta; Magnoliopsida; Sapindales; Meliaceae. The record is from RNAcentral.
AAAAACGACUCUCGGCAACGGAUAUCUCGGCUCUCGCAUCGAUGAAGAACGUAGCGAAAUGCGAUACUUGGUGUGAAUUGCAGAAUCCCGUGAACCAUCGAGUCUUUGAACGCAAGUUGCGCCCUAAGCCGUUAGGCCGAGGGCACGUCUGCCUGGGUGUCACG